RNAcentral lists this transfer RNA (71 nucleotides) under Urostylis sp. HL-2012. RNAcentral describes it as "tRNA-Lys". The record is from RNAcentral. Lineage: Eukaryota; Metazoa; Arthropoda; Insecta; Hemiptera; Urostylididae.
CAUUAAGUGGCUGAAAUAUUUAAGCAUUGGUCUCUUAAACCAAUAUAUAGUAUAUUAAAUUAGUUUAAACU